This 324-nucleotide ribosomal RNA is filed under the name uncultured eukaryote. RNAcentral describes it as "partial 18S ribosomal RNA". It matches the Rfam family "Eukaryotic small subunit ribosomal RNA", at positions 1470 to 1796 of the family's 1831-position model. The record is from RNAcentral.
CCCUUAGAUGUUCUGGGCCGCACGCGCGCUACACUGAUGCAUUCAACGAGUUUCUUCCUGGUCCGAGAGGAAUGGGAAACCUUUUGAAAGUGCAUCGUGAUAGGGAUAGACUAUUGCAAUUAUUGGUCUUCAACGAGGAAUUCCUAGUAGACGUAGUUCAUCAGACUGCAUCGAUUACGUCCCUGCCCUUUGUACACACCGCCCGUCGCUCCUACCGAUUGAAUGCUCAGGUGAGCCAUUCGGACUUUCAUCAUGCUGGUUUCCAGUUUUGAUGAAGGAAAGUCUUGCGAACCUUAUCAUUUAGAGGAAGGAGAAGUCGUAACA